Molecule: ribosomal RNA, 520 nt
Filed under: uncultured Glomus
Lineage: Eukaryota; Fungi; Glomeromycota; Glomeromycetes; Glomerales; Glomeraceae
Description: SSU rRNA
Rfam family: Eukaryotic small subunit ribosomal RNA
Source: RNAcentral
AGCAGCCGCGGUAAUUCCAGCUCCAAUAGCGUAUAUUAAAGUUGUUGCAGUUAAAAAGCUCGUAGUUGAAUUUCGGGAUCAGUACGCUGGUCGUGCCUUUGGUAUGUACUGGUGUCACUGAUUCCUCCCUUCUGAAGAACCGUUAUGCCAUUUAUUUGGUGUUGCGGGGAAUUUGGACUGUUACUUUGAAAAAAUUAGAGUGUUUAAAGCAGGCUCACGCUUGAAUACAUUAGCAUGGAAUAAUGAAAUAGGACGUUUGAUUCUAUUUUGUUGGUUUCUAGGAUCGACGUAAUGAUUAAUAGGGAUAGUUGGGGGCAUUAGUAUUCAAUUGUCAGAGGUGAAAUUCUUGGAUUUAUUGAAGACUAACUACUGCGAAAGCAUUUGCCAAGGAUGUUUUCAUUAAUCAAGAACGAAAGUUAGGGGAUCGAAGACGAUCAGAUACCGUCGUAGUCUUAACCAUAAACUAUGCCGACUAGGGAUCGGAUGAUGUUAAUUUUUAAUGACUCAUUCGGCGCCUUAA